AAACAGAUGGAAAUUCUUGCGCCGUUGCUUGCUUCUUCACGUGGGGAAGGAUAUACUUUACUUUGCUCUGUUUCUUCUUUGUAAUCUAGCAAUGAAAAGACGGUUAGGGUUAAUAAUUCAUGCCAAAAUGGGUCCCUGAUUCACCACAUUGCCAUAUAAAUAACGUCUCUGCACUUCAAUACUCUUCUGUUCAUGUCCAUGGACAUUGCUUAAAGCUGAAGUUGAAUUUGGCGACCUUGAUCGAAGCUUUGUUUGAACUUCGGGGAGAUGAUAACCUGUUUGAGCCUCUAUCCUCUUGUUUCUGCCUCUUCAAGCAUUAGCUGUACCACUCACACCUUGAGAAAUAAGCAGCAUCUUGCAAAGCAAAAGUCAGUAGAUCUAGCUCUUGGCUAUCGGAAUCCACAUGGAUACAAUGGGUUCAGUUUCGGGUCAAGAAGAUCAAUACACAAGAGGGUGCACUCUCAUUUCAAGGGCAUAGCUGUUAUGACAGAUGACAAGUCAACAAUGUCAUCCACUGAGGAAGAUUUAGAAAACAUUGGCAUCUUGCACAUUGAUCCAGCCCUAGAGCCGUAUAAAGAUCACUUCAAAUAUAGACUCAAGAGAUAUGUGGAUCAAAAAAAGCUUAUUGAAGAACACGAAGGAGGUCUUGAGGAAUUUGCACGAGGUUAUUUGAAAUUUGGAUUUAACAGAGAAGAAGGUGGCAUUGUGUACCGUGAGUGGGCACCUGCUGCUCAGGAAGCACAAAUUAUUGGGGACUUUAAUGAAUGGGAUGGUUCCAACCACUGGAUGGAAAAAAAUCAGUUUGGUGUUUGGAGUAUUAGGAUCCCUGAUGUUGAUGGAAAUCCGGCUAUACCUCACAAUUCAAGAGUGAAGUUUAGAUUCAAACACGGGGAUGGAGUUUGGGUUGAUCGCAUCCCUGCUUGGAUCAAAUUUGCCACUGUUGAUCCUGCCAAAUUUGCGGCACCAUAUGAUGGUGUCUACUGGGAUCCACCACUUUCUGAGAGGUAUCAGUUUAAAUAUCCUCGUCCACCAAAGCCAAAGGCCCCCCGGAUAUACGAGGCUCAUGUGGGAAUGAGCAGCUCUGAACCCUGCAUAAACUCUUACAGGGAAUUUGCAGAUGAUAUUUUGCCCCGUAUUCGGGAAAAUAACUAUAAUACAGUCCAGCUGAUGGCUGUGAUGGAGCAUUCCUAUUAUGCAUCAUUUGGAUAUCAUGUAACAAAUUUUUUUGCUGUGAGCAGUAGAUCUGGAACCCCUGAAGAUCUUAAAUAUCUGAUAGAUAAGGCCCAUAGCCUAGGGUUGCAGGUUUUGAUGGAUGUUGUCCACAGUCAUGCUAGUAAUAAUGUUACCGAUGGACUCAAUGGCUUUGAUGUUGGCCAAAGUUCACAAGACUCUUACUUCCAUUCUGGAGAUAGAGGCUAUCAUAAAUUGUGGGAUAGUAGACUCUUUAACUAUGCUAACUGGGAGGUUCUUCGCUUCCUUUUAUCAAAUUUAAGGUGGUGGCUUGAGGAGUUUAAAUUUGAUGGAUUCCGAUUUGAUGGAGUAACAUCAAUGCUGUAUCAUCACCAUGGAAUCAACAUUACAUUUACAGGGGAUUAUAAUGAAUAUUUUAGUGAAGUAACAGAUGUAGAUGCUGUUGUCUAUCUGAUGAUGGCUAAUUGUCUGAUCCAUAGUAUUUUGCCAGAUGCAACUGUCAUUGCAGAAGAUGUUUCUGGCAUGCCUGGACUUGGUCAAGCAGUCUCUGAUGGUGGAGUUGGUUUUGACUAUCGUCUAGCCAUGGCUAUCCCUGAUAAGUGGAUUGAUCACUUGAAGAACAAGAAUGACUAUGACUGGUCAAUGAAGGAAAUCUCUUGGAGUUUGACAAAUAGGAGAUACACUGAGAAAUGUGUUUCCUAUGCUGAAAGUCAUGACCAGGCCAUUGUUGGGGACAAGACUAUUGCAUUUUUGCUAAUGGAUGAAGAAAUGUAUUCUGGCAUGUCAUGCUUGUCUGAUGCUUCUCCAACUGUUGAGCGAGGGAUUGCUCUUCACAAGAUGAUACACUUUAUAACCAUGGCAUUAGGUGGAGAGGGAUACCUUAAUUUCAUGGGCAAUGAGUUUGGCCAUCCGGAGUGGAUUGAUUUCCCAAGAGAAGGCAAUGGAUGGAGUUAUGAGAAGUGUAGGCGUCAAUGGAAUCUGGUGGAUACAGAUCACUUGAGAUACAAGUUCAUGAAUGCAUUUGACAGAGCCAUGAACUUGCUUGAUGAUAAAUUUCCAUUCCUUGCAUCAACCAAACAGAUCGUGAGCAGCACAGAUGAUGAAGACAAGGUUAUAGUCUUUGAGCGUGGAGAUCUGAUAUUUGUGUUCAAUUUUCAUCCUGAGAACACAUAUGAAGGGUAUAAAGUUGGGUGUGACUUGCCUGGGAAAUACAAAGUUGCACUCGAUAGCGAUGCCUGGGAAUUUGGAGGACAUGGAAGACAGUGAGAUUGGGAAACAACUAGGGAAAAAAAAUGGAACUACAUGCAAAGAAAUCAUAUAAACUUUUAUGAUUUUCCCCUGUGGGGCACGAUGUAGACCACUUCACAUCCCCAGAAGGCAUCCCGGGAAUUCCUGAAACAAAUUUUAACAAUCGCCCCAAUUCCUUCAAGGUCCUCUCCCCUUCCCGCACUUGUGUGGCAUAUUGUAGAGUGGAAGAAAGCCAAGAAGACAGUAAUAAAAAUUUGGUUGGGGUGACAGAGACUUCUGCUUCAGCAGAUGUUGCGGAUGAAUUGACUUCUGUUGGAACUGAAGAUAGCACUGUUGAUGGGGUGAAAAAGACAUCAGCUGCUGCAAAGGCUGAUGUUGGAAAAACUUCCGAUGAAUUGGCUUCUUUACCAUACAUAAAACCAGAUACACAAACUGGAUAAAGUGGAAGAGAUCACCGCUGCAGCAGAUGUUCAAGACAAACCAGAAGAUGCAGACAACUGAGAAUCUUUUUCCUUUGUGAAUACUAGUCUUUUACGUUGAUAUUGUCUGGGAUUCAAGUAGAUGUGGUAAGCAGGUAGGUUUUUGGAUAUUCCUGAAGGAAAUUCGAUGUAAAUUUUGGUAACGUUUUGUCUGUCAAUCCAUCAUGUAUAUUUCUACCGCUCGUGUGUGUAAUAUAACCUUUAAUC
This is an RNA transcript of Abrus precatorius (Indian licorice), 3125 nucleotides long. It is a transcript of the gene named 1,4-alpha-glucan-branching enzyme 1, chloroplastic/amyloplastic-like, with no coding region annotated. The transcript is spliced from 15 exons. Lineage: Eukaryota; Viridiplantae; Streptophyta; Magnoliopsida; Fabales; Fabaceae. The record is from RefSeq and is a predicted model, not a curated record.